CAGAGGCGCCGGAAGCCAGGGCCCCGGCUGCGGGGACAAGGUGAGAGCCGGCUGGCUUCCGGGCCGGGAGGUGCGGGCGGAGGGCGAGGUACGCUGGACGGGCCGACGGGGGCGAGGCAGACGGCAGCUCGGCCGGGCUCCCAGGCCCCAGGCCUUCUCCGGAGCCCCGACAAAUCGCGGCCCCAGCCUGCCCCUGCGCUGGCUUUCCCUUCAGUCGUCGGGCCCGGGCCGGGAGCUGGAGUCCCACGGACUCGUAGGACCCUCGAGGAGCCGCCUCUGCCAGGGGAGUCGCGCGAACUGAGACGUCUGGUCCCGGUGCGACCCGGUCGGGUCGGAGGCAGAGGCCACCAUGGAGCAGUGUGCGAGUGUGGAGAGGGAGGUGGACAGGGUCCUGCAGAAGUUCCUGACCUACGGGCAGCACUGCGAGCAGAGCCUGGAGGAGCUGCUGCACUACGUGGGCCAGCUGAGGGCUGAGCUGGCCAGCGCAGCCCUCCAGGGGGCCCCUCUGUCAGCCACCCUCUCCCUGGUGAUGUCCCAGUGCUGCCGGAAGAUCAAAGACACCGUGCAGAAACUGGCUUCGGACCACAAGGACAUUCACAGCAGCGUCUCCCGAGUGGGCAAAGCCAUCGACAGGAACUUUGACUCUGAGAUUUGCGGCGUCGUCUCCGAUGCGGUGUGGGACUCUCGGGAGAAGCAGCAGCAGGUCCUGCAGAUGGCCAUUGUGGAGCACCUGUACCAGCAGGGUAUGCUGAGCGUUGCCGAGGAGCUGUGCCAGGAGUCAACACUGAACGUGGACUUGGACUUUAAGCAGCCUUUCCUCGAGUUGAAUCGAAUCCUGGAAGCUCUGCACGAACAAGACCUAGGGCCGGCAUUGGAAUGGGCUGUCUCCCACAGGCAGCGCCUGCUCGAGCUCAACAGCUCCCUGGAGUUCAAGCUGCACCGCCUACACUUCAUCCGCCUCCUGGCAGGCGGCCCUGAGAAGCAGCUGGAGGCCCUCAGCUAUGCCCGGCACUUUCAGCCGUUUGCACGGCUGCACCAGCGAGAGAUCCAGGUGAUGAUGGGCAGCUUGGUGUACCUGCGGCUGGGCUUGGAGAAGUCCCCCUACUGCCACCUCCUGGACAACAGCCACUGGGCAGAGAUCUGUGAGACCUUUACCCGGGAUGCUUGUUCCCUGCUGGGGCUCUCGGUGGAGUCGCCCCUCAGUGUCAGCUUUGCUUCUGGCUGUGUGGCGCUGCCUGUGCUGAUGAACAUUAAGGCUGUGAUUGAGCAGAGGCAGUGCACGGGGGUCUGGAGUCACAAGGACGAGCUACCGAUUGAGAUUGAACUGGGCAUGAAGUGCUGGUACCACUCGGUGUUUGCCUGCCCCAUCCUCCGGCAGCAGACGUCAGAUUCCAACCCUCCCAUCAAGCUCAUCUGUGGCCACGUGAUCUCCCGAGACGCCCUCAACAAGCUCAUCAAUGGAGGAAAGCUGAAGUGUCCCUACUGCCCCAUGGAGCAGAACCCAGCCGAUGGGAAACGCAUCAUAUUCUGAUACCUGCCUCGAAGGAACUUUGUCAGAAGGGCUUUCCACCCAUGAGCCUUGCUCUGUCCCGGUGGGGGUGGCUAGCUUCAGUGGACUGUGGUUCAUUUCCGAACGACUGGCUGAGCGCCACUGUGGGCGGAGGCCAAGAAGGGAGAUGAACCCGUCUGUGCCAGGCAGCCAGCUCCUUGGCCGGAAGGACAGGCAGACACUGGCCUCGGCACUCCCGCGGUUGCCCUGUUUCUCUCGGCCAGUGACUUCGUAGCAGCCCACAGAGAAGCAAAGCACUUGGCCAGCAACGCAGACCUUUUCAGCCCUGCCCCCAGCACCGCGCCCGCCCCUCCCACUUCAAUAGUGCUACCCUACCUCUGGACAGAGAAAAUGGCCUCGGCCCUCAAGGACCCCAGAUGUGAAUCUCCCACCUUCUGAAAGUGCGUGCAAAUUUGUGUUUGGUGAUCACUUCCU
Molecule: RNA transcript, 1984 nt
Organism: Neomonachus schauinslandi (Hawaiian monk seal)
Lineage: Eukaryota; Metazoa; Chordata; Mammalia; Carnivora; Phocidae
Gene: RMND5B
Gene name: required for meiotic nuclear division 5 homolog B
Exons: 11
Source: RefSeq, a predicted model, not a curated record